GCCUGCGUAGCGCAGUCGGUAGCGACUUUGUUGUUAUACCACACCAGUCCUGGGUUCAAACCCGUUGUAGGUA
Molecule: non-coding RNA, 73 nt
Organism: Caenorhabditis brenneri
Lineage: Eukaryota; Metazoa; Nematoda; Chromadorea; Rhabditida; Rhabditidae
Source: the annotation of a GenBank genome assembly